AUGGCGACCCACCCCUCCAAGAGGAGUUACCUGUGCGCGGGGAGCUCCUCGUUCGACGACCCCGACGUCGUCGAGGUGUCGCCGGCGGCCGCCGCCGCCGCCGGGGGGUGGAACCCCGGCCACCAGAAGAGGAAGCGGAGCCAGGUUGUUCCUCGCGAAAUAAUUGAAAUUGAUGAUGAUCCUGAUGGUGUUGUGAUUAUUGGUGAGAAAGCACCAGUUGAAAAGAAUAAACAUUCAGUUGGAUGUCCUCUUGUUUGGCCAAAGCAUGUGAAGACUAGUGUGGCUGGUGACACUGCCGGACCAAGCACCUAUGCUUCAAACAGUACUGCCAUUAUGGGUGGUUUUAAGAAAGUUAGCGCCGGACCAAGCACCUAUGCUUCAAACAGUACUACCAUUAUGGGUGAUUUCAAAAAAGUUACCUCUGGACCAAACACCUAUUUUUCAAGCAGUACUGCUGUUAAGGAUGCUUUUGCUAAAAAAUAUAUGGAAACCGCAGUUUACCAUGAUUAUGAUGACUACCCUUUCGACGCAUUCGAGGAAGAUGAAGACUUUGCUUAUGAGGAAGAUGACUACGAAAACUAUGAGUUUGAUGAUACACUUUAUGAGAAUGAAUAUAACUAUAAUUUAUCUGCCCAGUUUGAUGGCUUGGAUAUCCCGCCUGGAAUGGAGGCUCCUUUACCAUGGCUGCAGAAGACUGCCGCUGAGAUGUCGAGUAAUUCCAAACCCAUCCCAAUCUUGGACGAGAAAGUUGAUGAAAGAUACAGCACAUUUAAGCAAUUUGAUACUGUUGAUGGCCAUAGUGAUCAUUAUUAUGUGAAACCAGAGUUAAGGAAAGCUCUGGUAGUGAAGAAGCCAUCAAAAGACUGGGCGAAGCGCAUUCAGCAUGAGUGGAAAGUCUUAGAGAAAGACUUGCCAGAUACCAUAUUCGUGAGGGCAUACGAGGAUAGAAUGGACCUUCUUAGAGUUGUCAUUAUGGGUCCAGCGGGCACUCCUUACCAUGAUGGGCUCUUUUUCUUCGACAUUUACUUCCCUCCUCAAUAUCCAAACAUACCUCCACUUGUUAACUACCGCUCUGGUGGGCUGCGGCUUAAUCCAAACCUGUAUGCUUGUGGGAAGGUGUGCCUUAGCCUGUUAAACACCUGGGCUGGCAGUGGAUGUGAGAAAUGGAAUCCAUCCAAUUCAACCAUGCUGCAGGUCCUUGUCUCCAUUCAGGCCCUGGUUUUGAAUGCCAAACCUUAUUUCAAUGAGCCUGGAUAUGCUAAUUCAGCUAACACACCUGGCGGGGAGAAAAGAUCCCUAACUUAUAAUGAAGACACCUUCCUGCUGUCCUGCAGGACGAUGUUGUAUUCUCUUCGAAAUCCACCAAAGCAUUUUGAGGAUUUCGUGGCCGGCCAUUUCCGCAAGCACGGGCGCAACGUCCUGGUGGCCUGCAAGGCCUACCUGGACGGGGCGCAGGUCGGGUGCCUCGCCGGGAACGGGGUGCAGGACGUGGACGAGGGUGACAAGAGCUGCUCGCUCAAGUUCAAGACCUCGCUCAAGAGGCUGUUCGAGGAGCUGCUGAUGGAGUUCACGGUGAAGGGAGCGGACUGCAGCAAGUUCCUGUCGGAGAAGGCGAAGCAGUCGGCCGCCUCCGCCACCACCUCUAGAGGGCCGCCGGCAGACACCACCCUGAGGCUAUAA
Molecule: ribosomal RNA, 1680 nt
Filed under: Triticum aestivum (bread wheat)
Lineage: Eukaryota; Viridiplantae; Streptophyta; Magnoliopsida; Poales; Poaceae
Description: partial small subunit ribosomal RNA
Source: RNAcentral